Molecule: ribosomal RNA, 459 nt
Filed under: uncultured bacterium
Lineage: Bacteria
Description: partial 16S ribosomal RNA
Rfam family: Bacterial small subunit ribosomal RNA
Source: RNAcentral
CCUACGGGAGGCAGCAGUGAGGAAUAUUGGUCAAUGGCCGGAAGGCUGAACCAGCCAAGCCGCGUGAAGGACGAAGGUGCCAAGCAUUGUAAACUUCUUUUGUCAAGGGACAAACUCAGGCUCGAGAGCCUGACCGAGGGUACUUGAAGAAAAAGCAUCGGCUAACUCCGUGCCAGCAGCCGCGGUAAUACGGAGGAUGCGAGCGUUAUCCGGAUUUAUUGGGUUUAAAGGGUGCGUAGGCGGUCUGUUAAGUCAGCGGUAAAAGUCCGGGGCUCAACCCCGGCGAGCCGGUGAAACUGGCUGUCUUGAGAGUGCUAGAGGUAGGCGGAAUGCGCAGUGUAGCGGUGAAAUGCUUAGAUAGUGCGCAGAACUCCGAUUGCGAAGGCAGCAUACCGGCGGCGAACUGACGCUGAGGCACGAAAGCGUGGGGAUCGAACAGGAUUAGAUACCCGAGUAGUC